CGAAUUCAAAGUAGCGGAAGAAAUAUUAUACUAUCGGUGCGUGAUUUCUAUGAAAGAGAAAGAGAAAAUAAUGCUCCUUUAAUUCCAUUUGGAAAUGUUCGUCAACGAGUUGCCGCCACGACGGGAAUAUCUGAAAAAACCGUAAGCACCAUAACUAAAGAACGCGAAGUUGCUGCAUCCACUUUUCCAAAAAUUUCUAAGCCCAUAAAAAAAAAUAUUUUGGAUGAUUUUGAUCUGUGUGCAGUUCGAAAUGAGCUCCGUCAGAAAGGAGGUACCGACUUUGGGGAAACUCUUAGCAGAGUUAAAAAUUGAUAUAAAUUUUCGUGGAGGUCGUACUACAUUAUGGAAAAUUAUAUCUACCUACGAAAAAAUGCUGUGCGAAACUCUAUUUCACUAUUACUCGUGAGAAAGUGAAAUAUCGUGAAAAACGUUUGAUAGCUAUGAAUGACAGGUAGCCUAAAACGCAAAUAGAUUACUUUAUUUCCGAUUAAGAUAAUUAUCCGGAUGAAUAUAUUGUGGCUAUUACUGUGUAACUAACUAAUACAACAAGAAAUGACAGCUUGCAAUUAAUACACUAAACGUGCUUUUUUAAGAUACAAAGCAGCAACUCAUAAAUGGGUUGGUAAUUCUUUGGUACUAGUUAAAUACGUUUGAUAAGCUUACACAUAUUUUUUGAGUUACUUUCAUAUGAGUUAUUUCUAUAUUUGUAAUUAUUAUCAUUUCGUAUCUUACUGAACAGUUUAUUAAAUUGGAAUAACGAACUUCGCUCCUGACGGAAAUCUCCCGAUCACUUAAUUGUUUUUUAUUUUAAAAUAAUAUUAUUAGAUAGGCAUAUUCUUAAAUAUAUAUAAAGGUAUAGUCUUACAUUAAAUAACAAAGCGAACGGAAAUUAAUAUAAUAAGAUAGGUAUAAAUAAUAUUAUUAGAUAGGUAUAUUUUUUAUCAUCGGAAUCCGAAUUUAAAACUAUUAAAAUAACUUGUAUUAUUUCUACUCUUCUACCCGAUAUUAUUCAUUCACUGCAUAAAAACCAUUAACUUCAAUCAUUCAUGCUGUUAUGAACAAUUAUUGCCAUAUGAGGUAAAUUGCCGAGUUAUCAUAUUAGUUUUAUAUAAAAGCGAUAGCCGCCACCCGGUGCGGAGAGUUGGCUACACUCGGUCUUGUGAUUAAGUUCUGUAUAAAAUUGUGUGUGGAAAUUAAAGUAAUUCGGGAGUCAAAAA
Leptidea sinapis is the source of this 1217-nucleotide long non-coding RNA. RefSeq lists it as uncharacterized. NCBI's taxonomy places the organism in Eukaryota, Metazoa, Arthropoda, Insecta, Lepidoptera, Pieridae. The transcript has 2 exons. The record is from RefSeq and is a predicted model, not a curated record.